This 254-nucleotide ribosomal RNA is filed under the name uncultured bacterium. RNAcentral describes it as "partial 16S ribosomal RNA". It matches the Rfam family "Bacterial small subunit ribosomal RNA", at positions 524 to 776 of the family's 1533-position model. The record is from RNAcentral.
GACGUAGGGAGCGAGCGUUGUCCGGAUUCAUUGGGCGUAAAGAGCGCGCAGGCGGUUUGGUAAGUCGGAUGUGAAAACCCGGGGCUCAACCCCGGGCGUGCAUCUCGAUACUGCCCGACUAGAGGUAGGUAGGGGAGAUCGGAAUUCCUGGUGUAGCGGUGAAAUGCGCAGAUAUCAGGAGGAAUACCAAAGGCGAAGGCAGUGUCCUGGGGAGUGUCUGACGCUCAGGCGCGAAAGCUAGGGGAGCGAUCAGG